This 889-nucleotide ribosomal RNA is filed under the name uncultured bacterium. Its description in RNAcentral is "bacterial SSU rRNA". It matches the Rfam family "Bacterial small subunit ribosomal RNA", at positions 505 to 1397 of the family's 1533-position model. The record is from RNAcentral.
GUGCCAGCCGCCGCGGUAAUACGGAAGGUCCGGGCGUUAUCCGGAUUUAUUGGGUUUAAAGGGAGCGCAGGCUGAUGAUUAAGCGUGUUGUGAAAUGUACCGGCUCAACCGGUGACCUGCAGCGCGAACUGGUUGUCUUGAGUGGGUGCGACGUCAGCGGAAUUCGUGGUGUAGCGGUGAAAUGCUUAGAUAUCACGAAGAACCCCGAUUGCGAAGGCAGCUGACGAGUCCCUUACUGACGCUAAAGCUCGAAGGUGCGGGUAUCGAACAGGAUUAGAUACCCUGGUAGUCCGCACGGUAAACGAUGGAUGCCCGCUGUUGGCGAUACAUUGUCAGCGGCCAAGCGAAAGCGUUAAGCAUCCCACCUGGGGAGUACGCCGGCAACGGUGAAACUCAAAGGAAUUGACGGGGGCCCGCACAAGCGGAGGAACAUGUGGUUUAAUUCGAUGAUACGCGAGGAACCUUACCCGGGCUUGAACUGCAGAGGAAGGAAUGAGAGAUCAUGACGCCCUUCGGGGCCUCUGUGGAGGUGCUGCAUGGUUGUCGUCAGCUCGUGCCGUGAGGUGUCGGCUUAAGUGCCAUAACGAGCGCAACCCCUCUUGUCAGUUGCCAUCAGGUGAUGCUGGGCACUCUGGCGAUACUGCCACCGUAAGGUGCGAGGAAGGUGGGGAUGACGUCAAAUCAGCACGGCCCUUACGUCCGGGGCUACACACGUGUUACAAUGGGUGGUACAGAGAGUAAGUCCCCAGCAAUGUGGAUUCAAUCAUGAAAGCCAUCCUCAGUUCGGAUUGGGGUCUGCAACCCGACCCCAUGAAGCUGGAUUCGCUAGUAAUCGCGCAUCAGCCAUGGCGCGGUGAAUACGUUCCCGGGCCUUGUACACACCGCCCGU